CGACCAGACUCCUACGGGAGGCAGCAGUGGGGGAUAUUGCACAAUGGGGGGAACCCUGAUGCAGCGACGCCGCGUGGGCGAGGAAGUAUUUCGGUAUGUAAAGCCCUAUCGGCAGGGAAGAAGAAAUGACGGUACCUGACUAAGAAGCCCCGGCUAACUACGUGCCAGCAGCCGCGGUAAUACGUAGGGGGCAAGCGUUAUCCGGAAUUACUGGGUGUAAAGGGAGCGCAGACGGCAGUGCAAGUCUGGAGUGAAAGCCCGUGGCUUAACUACGGGACUGCUCUGGAAACUGUGCAGCUAGAGUGCAGGAGAGGCAGGCGGAAUUCCUAGUGUAGCGGUGAAAUGCGUAGAUAUUAGGAGGAACACCGGUGGCGAAGGCGGCCUACUGGACGGUGACUGACGCUGAGGCUCGAAAGCGUGGGGAGCAAACAGGAUUAGAUACCCCUGUAUA
This 451-nucleotide ribosomal RNA is filed under the name uncultured bacterium. Its description in RNAcentral is "partial 16S ribosomal RNA". It matches the Rfam family "Bacterial small subunit ribosomal RNA", at positions 328 to 794 of the family's 1533-position model. The record is from RNAcentral.